CACGGGGAGGUAGUGACGAAAAAUAACGAUACGGGACUCAUCCGAGGCCCCGUAAUCGGAAUGAGUACACUCUAAAUCCUUUUCCAAGGACCCAUUGGAGGGCAAGUCUGGUGCCAGCAGCCGCGGUAAUUCCAGCUCCAAUAGCGUAUAUUAAAGUUGUUGCGGUUAAAAAGCUCGUAGUCGAAUCUGUGUCCCGCGCCGCUGGUUCAUCGCUCGCGGUGUUCAACUGGCGUGUCUCGCGGGACGUCCUGCCGGUGGGCUUUGCGGAUUGAUUUGCCUUGAGCGGUCAUUCGUGGCCCAACUCGUAUCCGUUUUGCGCGGGUGCGAAUCCCAUCGCGGUGCUCUUUAUUGAGUGUCGAGGUGGGCCGGCACGUUUACUUUGAACAAAUUAGAGUGCUUAAAGCAGGCCAAUUUUGCCUGAAUAUUGUGUGCAUGGAAUAAUGGAAUAGGACCUCGGUUCUAUUUUGUUGGUUUUCGGAACCCCGAGGUAAUGAUUAAUAGGAACGGAUGGGGGCAUUCGUAUUGCGACGUUAGAGGUGAAAUUCUUGGAUCGUCGCAAGACGGACAGAAGCGAAAGCAUUUGCCAAAAACGCUUUCAUUGAUCAAGAACGAAAGUUAGAGGUUCGAAGGCGAUCAGAUACCGCCCUAGUUCUAACCAUAAACGAUGCCAGCUAGCGAUCCGCCGACGUUCCUCCGAUGACUCGGCGGGCAGCUUCCGGGAAACCAAAGCUUUUGGGUUCCGGGGGAAGUAUGGUUGCAAAGCUGAAACUUAAAGGAAUUGACGGAAGGGCACCACCAGGAGUGGAGCCUGCGGCUUAAUUUGACUCAACACGGGAAACCUCACCAGGCCC
This 851-nucleotide ribosomal RNA is filed under the name Neothetalia nimia. Its description in RNAcentral is "bacterial SSU rRNA". It matches the Rfam family "Eukaryotic small subunit ribosomal RNA", at positions 455 to 1225 of the family's 1831-position model. Lineage: Eukaryota; Metazoa; Arthropoda; Insecta; Coleoptera; Staphylinidae. The record is from RNAcentral.